AACAUUUCAUCCUUUCUCUUUUAAUAUGGAUCCAACGCCCAAUUAGAACAAAGUUAAAGACAAAAAAGAACAGAAAAUUAUAUUAUAAUAAACCAUUAAAUAUCCACAAAUUAGCCAUUAACUUGAAACUCUGCAUGCAAUUUGAAUGUUACCACAGUAAAUUCAAUUUACCAGACGUGCAAUGAAUUUACCGGUAAACAAUGCUAUCUCGACCUGUGAGUCACUCUUUUUUUCCAAUCCCAUUAAAGCUGUUGCAGUAAAGUAUCUUUUUCAAUUUGCCUAAAAACCUUUCUUUUCAAUAUUCCCUUUCCACCGACAGAUAAAAUGAUGUUAAAGUACCGGUGAAACUUAAUGCUUUACACCUCAAAGUAUCUCAAACUCUUAGUAAGAUGUGAAAAAAGAUAAUCUUUCUAACCCACUCUUUAUCUCAAGCCGGCAAUCCUAUUAAAAGUGAUUACAAAUUGGUCUGUUUAAAUUGAAGCGGCUUUCCUAAUGAAUCAAUUUCAUUUCACUUUAACAAUUGUUGAAAAAAUUCUGAUGACAAUCAGGUUAAAUUAUAUUUUGUAACAAAAAGUCGUCUAAUUGUAUUGCUAUGUUUUGUCUGUAAGCUUACCCAUUAACAUGGUUACCAUAAUAUGGAUCAGGUUAAAUGCACUUUUAUACAAUUUUCAAAUUAACUUGUCUACAAAUUUUAAUAUAACUAACCAAUUGUCUACCCAGAAAAGGCUAAAAUUCAAAUUUAAAUCUAAUCCUCUCUUUCUUUCUCUCUUUUCUUCUCCGAGCUGACGUUGACGAAAUUUUCUCAAGCAAAAAGAAAACUUGAAACUUGAUUCAACAACAAUGCUCAGGUCAUUGCUAAGCACCAUGAAAAAGUCUGAAUUACACUGGAAGAAAAAGGAGAAAGAUAAAUUCCAUUCCGGAAAAGAAGUGGUUGAAAGAAUAGAGAAGGCACGGUUUUUACAGAACAAGAGGGAACACAAACAAAAAAAGAGAGAGAAAAACGAAGAGAGCAUCUUCCAGCAAAAAGAGUGCUCUGCCAUCAUCAUCAUCAUCAUCCUCUUUAUCUCUGAAUAAUGACCGCCCUGUUUCAAAGUCUAUCAAAAAUUUUUUUAGGUUGAGUCAGGUUUGAGUAAAGUCUGGUGAAGUUUAACUCUAAAAAGUUGAUCAGCCCAAAUGAAUGGAUAGACAAGGGUUAGGUUGAAAGAUGAAAAAGGCAAAAUAAGAAGAAGAAGAAAAACGAAAGAAAAAAGAAAGAAGAGAAAGAAUAGAACUGUGAUGAGUGUAACUAAAUUGACAGGAAGCCUGUAAUGAUAUUGCGUUUUGAUGCUUUACCAGUGCACGAGACUGUAACGAUCAGCGUUUGACUGUGUAUUUGUGUGUGUGAUCCACAAAACAACAUCAACUGUUUAAAGGCAAUCUUGUUGAUCAAAAAGCAAGAGACCGUAUACAGUGAGAUUGUUUUUUUUCUUACCCAUCAUUAUUGUUAUUUGUAUUCACAUUUAUCUGUCUGACUUCAUGUGCAUGUAACUAUCUGUUUUCAUCCUCAACUACUCAAUCUCAUCCAUUAACCAUCACCAGCAUCUUUCACUUUGAUCAUGAAUUUUUGUUUCCUUUCACUCUUUAACUUUGUAUCUUCCUUGAACAAUAUUGAUUUGCUUUUACAGCUCACAGAUUAUGAAUAAUUUUGAUUGAAGGGUUUGUCUUUUCAGACAUUCAGACUGGUCACCAGUUUUUCAGACUAAUGACUAAUUUCACCAUCAACAUUAUCAUCAUCAUUAAAUCAUUAUCAUUAAUAAAAAUAGCUAUUAGUGUUACAGACAACAAUUUAUGACAAAAAUGUCGAUCAUCAUCCGUCUGUCCUUCAUCAGCUGUCAACAUUGUGAAACUCUAGAUUCAAGUGAAUAACCAGAUAAUUGGUUCCCUUCAUUUACCUUUACCUUUAUUGCAACCAUUAUUAAUAUUAAUAGUACACCCAACUUAAAUGAUUUCAACAUGAAGAAACAACUAACCAAGAAAAAACAACAAAAGUAAAACAAAAAACAAAACCAUGAGAAGAAGAAGAAAAAUCAAUACAAUUUCUUCGAUUCCUUCGAUUUAAUGUUGGGACAAUUAUGAUGAUGAUUAUAUGGUUUAUAUGAUGUUUGGUGAAUAAUUAAGGUAAAAAUGUUGACUCCUUGAAAGGUAAAAUGUUUCCCUCUCACCAAUCUCAUAGGAACCACAAAAAAGUGUAUUACAUCACAACUCCGCCUUACUUGGGUUAACCUUUUAUUGGUGAACAGCAAAUAUUGAAAUUUAAAAACAAGACUCUGGUUAUGACUUUUAUUGAAAAACGUCAAUGAUUACCUUUCCUUGGGAUUGGCCAGAAUUAACCUGAAAUUGAAUUGUGUUCUGAUUGAUUUAUUUGCACUUUUCCAUGUUAAUGUAAAGAUGAUAGACGAUCAACUCUUUUUAUUGAUGAUAGGACUUUCAAGGAUUUUAUUCACGUUAUCAUCACAGACACAAUAAAAUAGCCAAAAUAUGCAGACGGACAAGUUGAUUGAUGAUCAGUGAUUUAAAUUAAAAAAUGACCCUGACAAGUGUUUACCAAUCAACUGCGAUUGUUGAGACUAGAGUCCAAUAUUGAGUAUAAAAAAUGAUCCUGUUUGUGUUUUCAUUUUUCAUUAACUGAAACCAGAAACAAGUAAAUGAAAAGCAACAAUCAAAACCCAGAUUCCGCUUGAUUAAUGGCUAAUCAAAUUAUCCUCUCACUAUAAUUGACCAUUUUUCAUCACUGCAUUCAAAUAUUAUAAUGUUAAUCGCUUUCCACUUAUUAUUUCAAGUCAUGGACCAUUCAACAUGAACAUUGAGAUGGUUUCAUCUAUCUAUCAGAAUUGGCAGAUGAAAGUUUCAAAGGCAAAUAAAUGUUCAUCAAAUAAAAACAUUUAUCUGUACAUGAAGCGUGUCUCAACAAUCAUUGUAACCUUAUCUUCAUUUAAUGUUAAUCUGUUUAUGGUUGUGAUUAUUUAACCAAAAAAA
Long non-coding RNA from Tetranychus urticae (two-spotted spider mite), 3015 nucleotides. RefSeq lists it as uncharacterized. The record is from RefSeq and is a predicted model, not a curated record. NCBI's taxonomy places the organism in Eukaryota, Metazoa, Arthropoda, Arachnida, Trombidiformes, Tetranychidae.